Molecule: ribosomal RNA, 482 nt
Filed under: uncultured bacterium
Lineage: Bacteria
Description: partial 16S ribosomal RNA
Rfam family: Bacterial small subunit ribosomal RNA
Source: RNAcentral
AUUGAACGCUGGCGGCAUGCUUUACACAUGCAAGUCCAACGGUAACAGGCCGCAAGGUGCUGACGAGUGGCGAACGGGUGAGUAAUGCAUCGGAACGUGCCCAGUCGUGGGGGAUAACUACUCGAAAGAGUAGCUAAUACCGCAUACGAUCUAUGGAUGAAAGCGGGGGACCGUAAGGCCUCGCGCGAUUGGAGCGGCCGAUGUCAGAUUAGGUAGUUGGUGGGGUAAAGGCUCACCAAGCCAACGAUCUGUAGCUGGUCUGAGAGGACGACCAGCCACACUGGGACUGAGACACGGCCCAGACUCCUACGGGAGGCAGCAGUGGGGAAUUUUGGACAAUGGGCGCAAGCCUGAUCCAGCAAUGCCGCGUGCAGGAAGAAGGCCUUCGGGUUGUAAACUGCUUUUGUACGGAACGAAACGGCUCUGGUUAAUACCCGGGGCUAAUGACGGUACCGUAAGAAUAAGCACCGGCUAACUACGUG